GGCAGACGGGUGAGUAACAUGUAGGUAUCUUCCCUUUGGUGAGGAAUAACACGAGGAAACUUGUGCUAAUACCUCAUAAGUCUUUACGGAGAAAGCUUUAUGCGCCAUUGGAUGAGCCUGCACUUGAUUAGUUUGUUGGUGGGGUAAUGGCCUACCAAGACUAUGAUCAAUAGCUGAUUUGAGAGGAUGAUCAGCCACAUUGGGACUGAGACACGGCCCAAACUCCUACGGGAGGCAGCAGUAGGGAAUCUUGCACAAUGGGGGAAACCCUGAUGCAGCGAUGCCGCGUGAGUGAAGAAGGCCUUUGGGUUGUAAAGCUCUUUCGUCGGGGAAGAAAAUGACUGUACCCGAAUAAGAAGGUCCGGCUAACUUCGUGCCAGCAGCCGCGGUAAUACGAAGGGACCUAGCGUAGUUCGGAAUUACUGGGCUUAAAGAGUUCGUAGGCGGUUAAAAAAGUUGGUGGUGAAAUCCCAGAGCUUAACUCUGGAACUGCCAUCAAAACUUUUUAGCUAGAGUAUGAUAGAGGAAAGCAGAAUUUCUAGUGUAGAGGUGAAAUUCGUAGAUAUUAGAAAGAAUACCAAUUGCGAAGGCAGCUUUCUGGAUCAUUACUGACGCUGAGGAACGAAAGCAUGGGUAGCGAAGAGGAUUAGAUACCCUCGUAGUCCAUGCCGUAAACGAUGUGUGUUAGACGUUGGAAAUUUAUUUUUCAGUGUCGCAGCGAAAGCAAUAAACACACCGCCUGGGGAGUACGACCGCAAGGUUAAAACUCAAAUGAAUUGACGGGGACCCGCACAAGUAGUGGAGCAUGUGGUUUAAUUCGAAGAUACGCGCAGAACCUUACCAACACUUGACAUGUUCGUCGCGACUUUAAGAGAUUAAAGUUUUCGGUUCGGCCGGACGAAACACAGGUGCUGCAUGGCUGUCGUCAGCUCGUGUCGUGAGAUGUUGGGUUAAGUCCCGCAACGAGCGCAACCCUCACUUUUAGUUGCCAUCAUUUAGUUGGGCACUCUGAAAGAACUGCCAGUGAUAAGCUGGAGGAAGGUGGGGAUGACGUCAAGUCCUCAUGGCCCUUACGUGUUGGGCUACACACGUGCUACAAUGGCAUUUACAAUAGGAAGCAAAACGGCGACGUUAAGCAAAUCCUAAAAAAAUGCCUCAGUUCGGAUUGUACUCUGCAACUCGAGUACAUGAAGCUGGAAUUACUAGUAAUCGCGGAUCAGCGCGCCGCGGUGAAUACGUUCCCGGGUCUUGUACACACCGCCCGUCACACCAUGGGAGUUGGUUCUACCUUAA
RNAcentral lists this ribosomal RNA (1293 nucleotides) under uncultured bacterium. Its description in RNAcentral is "bacterial SSU rRNA". It matches the Rfam family "Bacterial small subunit ribosomal RNA", at positions 97 to 1425 of the family's 1533-position model. The record is from RNAcentral.